RNAcentral lists this ribosomal RNA (442 nucleotides) under uncultured bacterium. RNAcentral describes it as "partial 16S ribosomal RNA". It matches the Rfam family "Bacterial small subunit ribosomal RNA", at positions 338 to 795 of the family's 1533-position model. The record is from RNAcentral.
CCUACGGGAGGCAGCAGUAGGGAAUCUUUCACAAUGGGCGAAAGCCUGAUGGAGCAACGCCGCGUGCAGGAUGAAGGCCUUCGGGUUGUAAACUGCUUUUAUAAGCGAGAAAUAUGAUGUUAACUUAUGAAUAAGGAUCGGCUAACUACGUGCCAGCAGCCGCGGUCAUACGUAGGAUCCGAGCAUUAUCCGGAGUGACUGGGUGUAAAGAGUUGCGUAGGUGGAAUAAUAAGUAGCUAGUGAAAUCUGGUGGCUCAACCAUUCAGACUAUUAGCUAAACUGUUAAGCUCGAGACCGUUAGGGGUAACUGGAAUUUCUAGUGUAGGAGUGAAAUCCGUAGAUAUUAGAAGGAACACCAAUAGCGUAGGCAGGUUGCUGGGACGGUUCUGACACUAAGGCACGAAAGCGUAGGGAGCAAACGGGAUUAGAUACCCGGGUAGUC